GGGUGCGAGCGUUGUCCGGAAUCACUGGGCGUAAAGGGCGCGUAGGCGGUUUGGUAAGGCUGUGGUGAAAGCCCGGGGCUCAACCCCGGGUCUGCCGUGGCGACUGUCAGACUGGAGGGCUCGAGAGGCAGACGGAAUUCCGGGUGUAGCGGUGGAAUGCGUAGAGAUCCGGAAGAAGACCGGUGGCGAAGGCGGUCUGCUGGCGAGUCCCUGACGCUGAGGCGCGACAGCGUGGGGAGCAAACAGG
This 247-nucleotide ribosomal RNA is filed under the name uncultured bacterium. Its description in RNAcentral is "partial 16S ribosomal RNA". It matches the Rfam family "Bacterial small subunit ribosomal RNA", at positions 530 to 776 of the family's 1533-position model. The record is from RNAcentral.